This 87-nucleotide transfer RNA is filed under the name Nostoc sp. TCL240-02. RNAcentral describes it as "tRNA-Ser". It matches the Rfam family "tRNA". Rfam says of the family: Transfer RNA (tRNA) molecules are approximately 80 nucleotides in length. Their secondary structure includes four short double-helical elements and three loops (D, anti-codon, and T loops). The record is from RNAcentral. Lineage: Bacteria; Bacillati; Cyanobacteriota; Cyanophyceae; Nostocales; Nostocaceae.
GGAGAGGUGUCCGAGCGGUUCAUGGUGACGCACUCGAAAUGCGUUAAGAAAGCAAUUUCUUCGAGAGUUCGAAUCUCUCCCUCUCCG